RNAcentral lists this transfer RNA (76 nucleotides) under Gemmatimonadota bacterium. RNAcentral describes it as "Gemmatimonadetes bacterium tRNA-Glu". It matches the Rfam family "tRNA". From Rfam's summary of the family: Transfer RNA (tRNA) molecules are approximately 80 nucleotides in length. Their secondary structure includes four short double-helical elements and three loops (D, anti-codon, and T loops). Further hydrogen bonds mediate the characteristic L-shaped molecular structure. tRNAs have two regions of fundamental functional importance: the anti-codon, which is responsible for specific mRNA codon recognition, and the 3' end, to which the tRNAs corresponding amino acid is attached (by aminoacyl-tRNA synthetases). tRNAs cope with the degeneracy of the genetic code in two manners: having more than one tRNA (with a specific anti-codon) for a particular amino acid; and 'wobble' base-pairing, i.e. permitting non-standard base-pairing at the 3rd anti-codon position. Lineage: Bacteria; Pseudomonadati; Gemmatimonadota. The record is from RNAcentral.
GGCCCGUUCGUCUAGAGGCCUAGGACGCCGCCUUCUCAAGGCAGUAACGCAGGUUCGAAUCCUGCACGGGCCACCA